CUCUCGACCUCUCCUAAUGUCACGAUUGACAGCAUGCAACAGCGGACCAAUCAGCAGUCAGGAUGUGGAAGAGACGAGUCGGCCUCCAAACGUCUGACAAACGGCGGACAUUUAUCUAUGAAAAUUUGGAGAAGCUGCUGUUGGUGUGUUUGAAGGAGAGUCUACUCUCCAAGCAACUCUUCUUGGUCAACAUCAGUAUUGUCCUGCCCAUCCUUCCUGGACAUGAGGUCAGGACAUGAGGAUUUCAAAGAAGGAUGAGCUCACCUUCACCACAAUUGAAUCAGCUUUCACUUUCAGGCUCAAUAAAAAGGAGUGAGAGUGACUGGGAUGUGAGGAAAUUAGUUUCUCAGGAAUUCAUCUUCCUAAACACCAAA
Molecule: long non-coding RNA, 374 nt
Organism: Nerophis lumbriciformis (worm pipefish)
Lineage: Eukaryota; Metazoa; Chordata; Actinopteri; Syngnathiformes; Syngnathidae
Source: RefSeq, a predicted model, not a curated record